RNAcentral lists this ribosomal RNA (240 nucleotides) under uncultured Thauera sp. Its description in RNAcentral is "partial 16S ribosomal RNA". It matches the Rfam family "Bacterial small subunit ribosomal RNA", at positions 1143 to 1382 of the family's 1533-position model. The record is from RNAcentral. Lineage: Bacteria; Pseudomonadati; Pseudomonadota; Betaproteobacteria; Rhodocyclales; Zoogloeaceae.
GUGAGACUGCCGGUGACAAACCGGAGGAAGGUGGGGAUGACGUCAAGUCCUCAUGGCCCUUAUGGGUAGGGCUUCACACGUCAUACAAUGGUCGGUACAGAGGGUUGCCAAGCCGCGAGGUGGAGCCAAUCCCUUAAAGCCGAUCGUAGUCCGGAUCGUAGUCUGCAACUCGACUACGUGAAGUCGGAAUCGCUAGUAAUCGCAGAUCAGCAUGCUGCGGUGAAUACGUUCCCGGGUCUU